RNAcentral lists this ribosomal RNA (1482 nucleotides) under uncultured Bacillus sp. RNAcentral describes it as "bacterial SSU rRNA". It matches the Rfam family "Bacterial small subunit ribosomal RNA". The record is from RNAcentral. Lineage: Bacteria; Bacillati; Bacillota; Bacilli; Caryophanales; Bacillaceae.
GCUCAGGCGAACGCUGGCGGCGUGCCUAAUCCUGCAAGUCGAGCGGACAGAAGGGAGCUUGCUCCCGGAUGUUAGCGGCGGACGGGUGAGUAACACGUGGGUAACCUGCCUGUAAGACUGGGAUAACUCCGGGAAACCGGAGCUAAUACCGGAUAGUUCCUUGAACCGCAUGGUUCAAGGAUGAAAGACGGUUUCGGCUGUCACUUACAGAUGGACCCGCGGCGCAUUAGCUAGUUGGUGGGGUAAUGGCUCACCAAGGCGACGAUGCGUAGCCGACCUGAGAGGGUGAUCGGCCACACUGGGACUGAGACACGGCCCAGACUCCUACGGGAGGCAGCAGUAGGGAAUCUUCCGCAAUGGACGAAAGUCUGACGGAGCAACGCCGCGUGAGUGAUGAAGGUUUUCGGAUCGUAAAGCUCUGUUGUUAGGGAAGAACAAGUGCGAGAGUAACUGCUCGCACCUUGACGGUACCUAACCAGAAAGCCACGGCUAACUACGUGCCAGCAGCCGCGGUAAUACGUAGGUGGCAAGCGUUGUCCGGAAUUAUUGGGCGUAAAGGGCUCGCAGGCGGUUUCUUAAGUCUGAUGUGAAAGCCCCCGGCUCAACCGGGGAGGGUCAUUGGAAACUGGGAAACUUGAGUGCAGAAGAGGAGAGUGGAAUUCCACGUGUAGCGGUGAAAUGCGUAGAGAUGUGGAGGAACACCAGUGGCGAAGGCGACUCUCUGGUCUGUAACUGACGCUGAGGAGCGAAAGCGUGGGGAGCGAACAGGAUUAGAUACCCUGGUAGUCCACGCCGUAAACGAUGAGUGCUAAGUGUUAGGGGGUUUCCGCCCCUUAGUGCUGCAGCUAACGCAUUAAGCACUCCGCCUGGGGAGUACGGUCGCAAGACUGAAACUCAAAGGAAUUGACGGGGGCCCGCACAAGCGGUGGAGCAUGUGGUUUAAUUCGAAGCAACGCGAAGAACCUUACCAGGUCUUGACAUCCUCUGACAACCCUAGAGAUAGGGCUUUCCCUUCGGGGACAGAGUGACAGGUGGUGCAUGGUUGUCGUCAGCUCGUGUCGUGAGAUGUUGGGUUAAGUCCCGCAACGAGCGCAACCCUUGAUCUUAGUUGCCAGCAUUCAGUUGGGCACUCUAAGGUGACUGCCGGUGACAAACCGGAGGAAGGUGGGGAUGACGUCAAAUCAUCAUGCCCCUUAUGACCUGGGCUACACACGUGCUACAAUGGACAGAACAAAGGGCUGCAAGACCGCAAGGUUUAGCCAAUCCCAUAAAUCUGUUCUCAGUUCGGAUCGCAGUCUGCAACUCGACUGCGUGAAGCUGGAAUCGCUAGUAAUCGCGGAUCAGCAUGCCGCGGUGAAUACGUUCCCGGGCCUUGUACACACCGCCCGUCACACCACGAGAGUUUGCAACACCCGAAGUCGGUGAGGUAACCUUUAUGGAGCCAGCCGCCGAAGGUGGGGCAGAUGAUUGGGGUGAAGUCGU